GAAUGGCUUGGCAAACUGAUUGGCUUGAGGCAGGUAGGGGCGAGUGGAACUCUUGGUGGAGCGGUGGAAUGCGUAGAUAUCAAGAGGAACGCCGGUGGCGAAGGCGACUCGCUGGGCCUGUCCUGACGCUCAGGUGCGAAAGCCAGGGGAGCGAACGGGAUUAGAUACCCCGGUAGUCCUGGCCCUAAACGAUGUCCACUAGGUUGGAGCUCUUCUGACAGACUUCCAGCCGAAACAAAAGCGUUAAGUGGACCGCCUGGGGAGUACGGUCGCAAGGCUAAAACUCAAAGGAAUUGACGGGGGCUCACACAAGCGGUGGAGCAUGUUGCUUAAUUCGAUGCAACGCGAAGAACCUUAUCCUGGGCUUGACAUGUUUGGAUGCCUACCUGGAAACAGGGUCGGCUGCCUUCGGGGUGAAACUUGCACAGGUGCUGCAUGGCUGUCGUCAGCUCGUGUCGUGAGAUGUUGGGUUAAGUCCCGUAACGAGCGAAACCCUUGUCGCUAGUUGCCAGCGCGUUAUGGCGGGAACUCUAGCGAGACUGCCGGUGUUAAACCGGAGGAAGGUGGGGAUGACGUCAAGUCCUCAUGGCCUUUAUGCCCAGGGCUGCAAACGUGCUACAAUGGCCGAGACAAACCGAAGCAAAACCGUGAGGUCGAGCAAAUCGGAAAAAAUCGGCCCCAGUUCGGAUUGGAGUCUGCAACUCGACUCCAUGAAGUUGGAAUCGCUAGUAAUCGCAGAUCAGCCAUGCUGCGGUGAAUGUGUUCCUGAGCCUUGUACACACCGCCCGUCAAGUCAUGGAAGCUGGGAGCACCCGAAGUCGGCAUAAUUCAGUGCUGCCGAAGGUGAGCUUGGUAACUGGGACUAAGUCGUAACAAGGU
This 879-nucleotide ribosomal RNA is filed under the name uncultured bacterium. RNAcentral's name for it is "bacterial SSU rRNA". It matches the Rfam family "Bacterial small subunit ribosomal RNA", at positions 618 to 1497 of the family's 1533-position model. The record is from RNAcentral.